UCCAGGUUAGUAAAAUGUGUGUGUACAUAUUCCCUUUCCUCAAGGAAAUGAUUUCGCCACAUGUUAUUUUUGCUUGCAGAGGGUAAUACUGCUAAUGCAAUUAGUGUGCGAGCCGAUGGACCUAGCUCCAGCACUGUAGAUGCCUUCCCAACAAGUUUCCGUUUGGCAUCAAGACGCUCCGUACGCCGUCGUCUAUCUUUUCUGCCUAAUUGGUAUGAUCAACCUAUUCUCUGUGCGUCUUUGCCUAUGCUCCCUCCCUACAUGUUUGGCUGGUUUGGUGUAUGCAGUCUUAUUUGGGUGUUGUUCGUCCAAACAAAUAAAUAGCAAUCAUUCCAUACUUUUUCCUAGUACGUAUAUGGCAUCUUGUAUUUAGCUUCUCUUCGCUAUUGCAAUGCCAGCCCAAGGUAAUUGCUCCCUUUCUUAUAACCAGCGACAGGUUCACCACACAACACUCAACCUGUGACGGCUGCAGCUAUUCCCCAUCGCCGUGAGUUAAAACAUACUGUGACUACUCUUUGCUCAGUUUUAAUUUGUUAUAUUCCUUACAACCUAUACUACAAUUGUGCUGUUCACAGUCCAUAACAGAUCGGCUAUGUAGGGUGGCGUUUAGCAGAUCUCCCAGAGCUGACUCUUUGCUGAAUCCAGCUGGAUUCUAGAGAGAAGUGAUUCUCUACUGAUUCUGUGAAGUGAUUCUCUGAAAUGAACUAAGAGGUUAGGAUCUGAAAAAAAUAGCUUCUCCUGAUUCUAUGAAGUGAUUCUCCAUCUUGAUUUUAAGUGUUUAUGCUAGAGAAUCAAAGAGAAUCACUUUCAGCCACAGAAUCACUUCUCUCAACGAAUCAGCUUCCAUAGAGAAUCAGAAUCAGAUGGAGCUCUACUAAAUAUGCCCGUAAUUCCUGCUUUCUCCUUUCCUUUGCACAUAACUUCCUUUCAUAACCCCUCCCGUCCAUAAAAAAUAAAUCAGCUAUGCAAAUGGUGGUGUAAGAAUGAGCAGCACAAAUUUGUCUUAUCAAAAGUUCAUAGACUCUGGUUAUGCAAAUCUUUUGCUUAGAAACCGUGUCGAUCAAUG
Molecule: long non-coding RNA, 1066 nt
Filed under: Setaria viridis
Lineage: Eukaryota; Viridiplantae; Streptophyta; Magnoliopsida; Poales; Poaceae
Description: long non-coding RNA (SVIR_LNC003865)
Source: RNAcentral